ACGCUCGACACCUACCGGAGGCAGCAGUGGGGAAUAUUGCACAAUGGGGGAAACCCUGAUGCAGCGAUGCCGCGUGAAGGAAGAAGUAUCUCGGUAUGUAAACUUCUAUCAGCAGGGAAGAAAAUGACGGUACCUGACUAAGAAGCCCCGGCUAACUACGUGCCAGNCGCGAGUAUNGCGGCGNGNGAGAG
This 191-nucleotide ribosomal RNA is filed under the name uncultured bacterium. Its description in RNAcentral is "partial 16S ribosomal RNA". It matches the Rfam family "Bacterial small subunit ribosomal RNA", at positions 328 to 538 of the family's 1533-position model. The record is from RNAcentral.